UACGAAGGGGGCUAGCGUUGCUCGGAAUUACUGGGCGUAAAGGGCGCGUAGGCGGACAGUUUAGUCAGAGGUGAAAGCCCAGGGCUCAACCUUGGAAUUGCCUUUGAUACUGGCUGUCUUGAGUUCGGGAGAGGUGAGUGGAAUUCCCGGUGUAGUGGUGAAAUGCGUAGAUAUCGGGAGGAACACCAGUGGCGAAGGCGACUACCUGGCCUGUUCUUGACGCUGAGGCGCGAAAGCUAGGGGAGCAAACGGG
This 253-nucleotide ribosomal RNA is filed under the name uncultured bacterium. RNAcentral's name for it is "partial 16S ribosomal RNA". It matches the Rfam family "Bacterial small subunit ribosomal RNA", at positions 524 to 776 of the family's 1533-position model. The record is from RNAcentral.